Molecule: ribosomal RNA, 478 nt
Filed under: Necrosciinae sp. 8 SB-2021
Lineage: Eukaryota; Metazoa; Arthropoda; Insecta; Phasmatodea; Lonchodidae
Description: partial large subunit ribosomal RNA
Rfam family: Bacterial large subunit ribosomal RNA
Source: RNAcentral
UUAUUUAAUGGCCGCGGUAUUUUGACCGUGCAAAGGUAGCAUAAUCAUUAGUUUAUUAAUUGUGGACUUGUAUGAAUGGUUUGACGAAAUAUUAUCUGUCUCAUAUUUAUAUAUAUAAUUUAAAUUUUUAGUUAAAAUGCUUAAAUUUUUUUAUAGGACGAGAAGACCCUAUAGAUCUUUAUUAUUAAAUUAUUUAUAUUUUUUUGUUUAUUUUUUUAUAAAUAAUUUUAUUAUUUUGUUGGGGUGACAUGGAGAAAUAUAUAACUCUUUAUAUUUUUAUACAUUUAUUUUUGUUUAAUUGACCUUUUAUUAAUGUUAUAAGAUAUAGAUACCUUAGGGAUAACAGCGUAAUUCUUUUUGAGAGUUCUUAUCGACAAAGGAGAUUGCGACCUCGAUGUUGGAUUAAGAUUAUUAUUAGGUGUAGAUGCUUAACUAAAUAAGUCUGUUCGACUUUUAAAUUCUUACAUGAUCUGAGUCA